UAACACGUUGGUGACCUGCCCCGAGGAGCGGGAUAACUCCUUGAAAGAGGAGCUAAUACCGCAGAUGUCUAAGUUGUUAGAGGACUUAGACUAAAGCCUUGGCGUCUCGGGAGGGGCCUGCGGGCUAUCAGCUAGUUGGUGGGGUAAGAGCCUACCAAGGCGAAGACGGCUAGGGGGCGUGAGAGCGUGACCCCCCACAAGGGAACUGAGAAACGGUCCCUACUCCUACGGGAGGCAGCAGUGAGGAAUAUUGAGCAAUGGGCGCAAGCCUGACUCAGCAACGCCGCGUGGAUGAAGAAGGCCUUCGGGUUGUAAAAUCCUUUUCUGAGGGACGAUAAUGACGGUACCUCAGGAAUAAGUUCCGGCUAACUACGUGCCAGCAGCCGCGGUAAAACGUAGGGGACAAGCGUUAUCCGGAUUUACUGGGCGUAAAGCGCCCGUAGGCGGCUUGACAAGUUGGAUGUGAAAGCUCCCGGCUUAACUGGGAGAGGUCAUUCAAAACUGUCAGGCUAGAGGAUGGAAGAGGAGAGCGGAAUUCCCGGUGUAGUGGUGGAAUGCGUAGAGAUCGGGAGGAACACCGGCGGCGAAGGCGGCUGCCUGGACCAGUCCUAACGCUGAGGCGCGAAAGCUAGGGGAGCAAACAGGAUUAGAUACCCUGGUAGUCCUAGCCCUAAACGAUGGAUACUGGCUGUGGGGGGUAGCCAAUCCCCCCGUGGCGAAGCUAACGCAUUAAGUAUCCCGCCUGGGGAGUACGGUCGCAAGUCUGAAACUCAAAGGAAUUGACGGGGGCCCGCACAAGCGGUGGAGCAUGUGGUUCAAUUCGACGCAACGCGAAGAACCUUACCUGGGCUCGAAGUGGGGCGGAAGAGGGCUGAGAGGCCCUUGUCCCUUCGGGGACUGCCCCAGAGGUGCUGCAUGGCUGUCGUCAGCUCGUGUCGUGAGAUGUUGGGUUAAGUCCCGCAACGAGCGCAACCCUUGUCCUUAGUUGCUAACGGGAGAGCCGAGCACCCUAAGGAAACUGUCGGCGAUAAGCCGGAGGAAGGCGGGGAUGACGUCAAGUCCUCAUGGCCUUUAUGUCCAGGGCUACACACGUGCUACAAUGGGCGCCACAAAGGGCCGCAAACCUGCAAAGGGGAGCCAAUCCCAGAAAAGCGCUCUCAGUUCGGAUUGGAGUCUGCAACCCGACUCCAUGAAGCUGGAAUCGCUAGUAAUCGCGGAUCAGCAUGCCGCGGUGAUACGUUC
This 1242-nucleotide ribosomal RNA is filed under the name uncultured bacterium. RNAcentral's name for it is "bacterial SSU rRNA". It matches the Rfam family "Bacterial small subunit ribosomal RNA", at positions 111 to 1373 of the family's 1533-position model. The record is from RNAcentral.